UUUUUUUUAAGGAUAAAUGUAACAAGGUUUCCGUUGGGGAACCAGCGGAGGGAUCAUUACCGAGUUUACAAUUCCCAAACCCCUGUGAACAUACCCUCUUCGAUUGCCUCGGCGGGACUCGCCCCGGCGCCCCUUCGGGCCCGGAUCCAGGCGCCCGCCGGAAGGACCCAAACUCUUGUCUCUUGCGAGUAUCUUCUGAGUGACACAAGCCAAAUAAAAUCAAAACUUUCAACAACGGAUCUCUUGGUUCUGGCAUCGAUGAAGAACGCAGCGAAAUGCGAUAAGUAAUGUGAAUUGCAGAAUUCAGUGAAUCAUCGAAUCUUUGAACGCACAUUGCGCCCGCCAGUAUUCUGGCGGGCAUGCCUGUUCGAGCGUCAUUUCAACCCCUCAGGCCCCCGGGCUUGGUGUUGGGGAUCGGCCCGCCCCUGGCGGCGGCGCCGGCCCCGAAAUCGAGUGGCGGUCUCGCUGCAGCCUCCUCUGCGUAGUAGCACACACCUCGCACCGGGACGCAGCGCGGCCACGCCGUGAAACCCCCAACUCUCUCAAGGUUGACCUCGAAUCAGGUAGGACUACCCGCUGAACUUAAGCAUAUCAAUAAGCGGAGGAAAAGAAACCAACAGGGAUUGCCCUAGUAACGGCGAGUGAAGCGGCAACAGCUCAAAUUUGAAAUCUGGCCCCCGGGUCCGAGUUGUAAUUUGUAGAGGAUGCUUUUGGUGCGGUGCCUUCCGAGUUCCCUGGAACGGGACGCCAUAGAGGGUGAGAGCCCCGUCUGGUUGGACACCAAGCCCUCUGUAAAGCUCCUUCGACGAGUCGAGUAGUUUGGGAAUGCUGCUCUAAAUGGGAGGUAUAUGUCUUCUAAAGCUAAAUACCGGCCAGAGACCGAUAGCGCACAAGUAGAAGUGAUCGAAAGAUGAAAAGCACUUUGGAAAAGAGGGUUAAACAGUAACGUGAAAAUUGUUGAAAAGGGAAAGCGCUUGUGACCAGACGUGGGGCCCGGUCAAUCAUCCAGCGUUCUCGCUGGUGCAACUUGGCCGGGCUCAGGCCAGCAUCAGUUCGGCGCGGGGGGAUAAAGGCGUUCGGGCAUGUGGCUUCCCCCGGAGAGUGUUAUAGCCCGUCGCGCAAUACCCUGCGCCGGAACUGAGGUUCGCGCAUCGCAGAUGCGCUAUGGGGGAGGUUUUUAGCACUUUUUAAAACGAAAAAA
RNAcentral lists this ribosomal RNA (1201 nucleotides) under Ascomycota sp. L283. RNAcentral's name for it is "eukaryotic LSU rRNA". The stretch from base 550 to 1201 matches the Rfam family "Eukaryotic large subunit ribosomal RNA", at positions 1 to 621 of the family's 3401-position model. Lineage: Eukaryota; Fungi; Ascomycota. The record is from RNAcentral.